AAAAUAAAAGUCAACCGAUUGCUAACUAAACAAAUGAUUUCUUGGUUUGCUAAUCUAAGAGAUUCUUUAUUUCAUUUUAGCGUAUUGAAAUCAAACUUGAUAAACCAUGACUUCUUUUUUUGUAACUGACUUAAAAGUGACAAUUCACUAGUUAUCCCUCAGUUUCAGUUUAAAUGUCAUUGUAGAAUAAAUUAUCGUUUCAAAAUAAAUAUCGUUUUUUUUAAUUUGAAUGCAAUUUUUUUAACUUUUUAUUCCAAUCUAUUUUUCUAAUAGUUGAAAUGUGGUUAAUUGUAUUGGUAAUGAUGUUUUUAUUUCGAAAAUAUGUAAAAAUUAAAUAUUUUAUUAAUUUGUGUGACCAAGUUUUAAACGGCAAUUAAAUGAAAACGAAAGGGUUGUUUUUAGCAUUUGAGGUUUCUCAAUCUCUUUUAAUGAUUGCAAUCUAACAAUAAUAAAAGGAGAAUAAGCUCAAUGUUUAGCUAUGCCACGUAGACAAAUUAAUUCAAACCAAUCACAGUGCUAUAUUAUGCCAUGUCAUCUAUUGCAGUGAACCCUAUAGCUUUCGUCGCCGACUGAUCGCCUUCUUUUUGAUCCUUUUCUUCGGAGAGACCCAUCAGCUUUCACCUCUUUAGCUUCUCCUCUAUAACGUUAACGAAUCAUAAUCGUGACCCAUAAAGCUCUAUCAUUUAUUGCAAUCAUUAUAUAAUCUAUCUCUUCCCCUCCGAUUUUGCUGAGAAGAAAAUGAUUUAGAAUCUAUCUUUUCCAGGUUCUGCCAAUGUCAUCAACUCUAGAUCAAGUCAAAAUGCAAAGACUCUUUAACCAACAACCUCCCAGACCUGUCUGAGGUGGUGGACGAGGUGCUGGUCCUGCUGCGCCUCCUGUGAGAAGACCACGACCUCGACGCCACCCAGAUGUCAGCAUUUCAGAAUUGAUGGCUUCCCCAUCCCGGCUUCAGAUGCCUCUCAUACAUCCUGAGAAAGAAAACAAUGGGCUUUGGUUUAAGAUUGACAAAUGUUUAACUGAUGAUUGUAACAUGGUCGCUGAUGAGAUGAAAUUUACCUGGUGGGGAGACUUUGUGCAAAAGUAUUAUUGGGCCCCAUUCAUGACAAUGUGGUGCGUUUACAUUGGAAGAAGACAAUGAUGUCGUUGAUCUCCAACUUCAUCAGCAAGCGCAAGCGGAGUGGCAAGAUACCUCCAUUCAUGAGUUCAGAGCACUGGGGUGCUUUGCAAACAUAUUGGGGGUACUGAACCUGCUAGAAAGAAAAGCAAGUCUACAUCUGAAAGCCGCUGCUCAGAUCAAGGAGGUCUAGGUCAACACAUCCACACUGCUGCUUCGACACGAUUUAUGAAGAUCAAAUAUGAUAUGAUGGUUGCUAAUGGUGGGAUUGAACCCACGUUGAUUUAUCUUGUGAGAAAGACCCAUACUCGGAAAGAUGGCACAUUUGCAGAUGGUCGUGCAAAGAAAAUUGUAGAAGAUGUUGAAGCUGCGGUGACCCAUUCUGAAUGACUUGGUGGGGAGGGGUCUGCUGCAACAACGCCAUCACCGCAACAACUUGAUAAUUUUUAUUGAGUUUUUUUAAUAGGCUGCCCACCUUACAAAGGGCGUGUUUAUGGCCUUGGCUCUGCUCAUUGUUAUUAUGGUGAUUCCACGCCUUCCACCUCAACUGCUAAUAGCCACAUUCACAAGCCUUGGCAAAACCGUCGAAUACGCCACGGACAGCCACGGCCUCCACUUUAGCAACGAUCGUAUAUCAACGAAAAUAAUCGUAAUUUAGCCAGAGAUGUGAUCCUUGAGCCACACCAAUUUCCCUGGCCAUCCGAUACAUUUCUUGUAGUGUUUGUGGCCAAAACCAAAUUAAGUUGUAGUUUAAAGAUUUCUUGGAUUCUUUAUCUUCCAUUACAUCAGAUUCAUCACCGCUAAAUGCUUUGAAAUCUUCUCAGAGCUCUCUUGCUUAAUCAGAGAAGAGAUUAUUCAUAGAUAUUACUGUCUUUACUUCACAGCGAGAUGGCUUCAACAAAAUGGAAUUGAGCUGAAAACACAGUCUGGAAACUCAAAUUCCUAAUGGCGCCACCUUCAUCAUUAUCGGCUGUAUCCAAAGAAGGCAUUGUAUCCAAAGAAGCCAGUGCCGUCCUAACAUAAGUUGUAACCAGGACGGUGUGAUACUAGGUGUGGAUACCCGAGCAACUGAAGGGCCUAUUGUUUCUGAUAACAAUUAUGAGCAAAUUCACUUAAGGGUACCAAACAUAUAUUGAUGUGGGGCUGAACAGUGCAUUCCAAGUUAUGAAGAGAUACAACAAAAAGCCUCAUCGUUAAGAAAAUUUGCGCCGACCACCGGAGGAGCCAAGAAGCCUCACGUCCCGGAACCGCUACUCUUCGUAAGAUGGAUUAUAAAAUAAAAUACCAGAAGAGUACGGAGCUGUUGAUCCGUAAAAUUUUAUUAAAUUUGAAGACAGUUAAAUUUACGUGAAUCUAUUUCAAUAAUUUUAAGAAAAACAAGGCACAUUUUCAUAUUAAGAUAUUUAAUAUAUUACUCUUUUCAAUUCUAUACAGUUUCACAAUAUGAGAUUUUUAGUAUA
Long non-coding RNA from Brassica napus (rape), 2574 nucleotides. RefSeq lists it as uncharacterized. The transcript has 7 exons. NCBI's taxonomy places the organism in Eukaryota, Viridiplantae, Streptophyta, Magnoliopsida, Brassicales, Brassicaceae. The record is from RefSeq and is a predicted model, not a curated record.